This 31-nucleotide non-coding RNA is filed under the name Rattus norvegicus (Norway rat). The record is from RNAcentral. Lineage: Eukaryota; Metazoa; Chordata; Mammalia; Rodentia; Muridae.
UGGAGUUACAAACAGUAAUUGCCACGUGGGU